UACGAAGGGGGCGAGCGUUGUUCGGAAUUACUGGGCGUAAAGGGCGCGCAGGCGGCCUUUCAAGUCAGAUGUGAAAGCCCCGGGCUCAACCUGGGAAUGGCAUUUGGGACUGGAAGGCUCGAGAUCGGGAGAGGAGGGUGGAAUUCCCAGUGUAGAGGUGAAAUUCGUAGAUAUUGGGAAGAACACCGGUGGCGAAGGCGGCUCUCUGGACCGAUACUGACGCUGAGGCGCGAAAGCGUGGGGAGCAAACAGG
Molecule: ribosomal RNA, 253 nt
Filed under: uncultured bacterium
Lineage: Bacteria
Description: partial 16S ribosomal RNA
Rfam family: Bacterial small subunit ribosomal RNA
Source: RNAcentral